UUUUUUUUUCCUCUUUGUAUGUCUCAUAAUUUUUGUCAAAAACUGGAUGUUUUAAAUAAUACAAUGUGGCAACAUGCUCACUGGCUAACUGGAAGGUUGGAGGUUUGAGUCCACCCAGAGGUGCCUUGGAAGAAAGGCCUGAUGAUCUACUUCUGAAAAAUCAGUCAGUGAAAAUCAUAUGGAGCACAGUUCUAUUCUGACACACACAGGGCCACCAUGAGUCAGACUUGACGGCAACUACUUUGGAGGUCAGCAGGAAUGCCUCCUUUUGUUAAGACAAGCCCUAAGCAACUGCCAUUCAAGAAAAACUCAUCCCGAGGACUCUGACCUUGUCUCCCUGGAUGCUGUGAGGUCAGCCACAUUGGAAGUAAUUUCAUUCAUGCAGUUUUUAUUCACAGAAACCUGAACAGCCACCCCAAACUUGUGGCAAUCCUGGAGUUUAACAUUUAAGAAAUAAGGAAGUGUUUUGUUUUUUUUUUAAAUCCUUCUUCCAAUUGUCUAGUUAUGCCAGACUUUUCAUUUGUUUAUUCAUUAAGCAUUUAUUUCAACAUUAAAUGUGUUACAACUUAUACUUGAAUUAUACUUGAAAAGAGAUUCCUCAAAAACAAGUAAUUAUAACUUCUGAAUAUCGAAAUUCCCUCUGAUGAUUCUCCCAAAGCUGCUGAUCUUUACUGAGGUGUUUACUGUUCUGGGAUGGGCUGCAAAACGGAGAGAGAAAAUGCCACAAUUUUAAUGCAAUGCAAAGUAAAUAGCAUAGAAAGGUCAGGACCUUUGCGUGGGACCUCCCUUUUCAAAGUAAACACAAGCAUUUCGAGAGUUUGAAGAGACCAGGCCACUGGCUAAGCAAUUGGUCCAUUGGAUUAUAUAGUGCCACUCUGGCUCCCCACCCACAAACCCCAUGGCUUUAAAAUCUGUAAGACGGAGUUCUGACAUAACUCAUUGUUUUUGGUAGCUAACAUCUGGGCCACUUGAAGGAGAGCAGGUGAUAAGGAAGGCUCAGUGGACAGGAGUAGUAAAAGAUUCUCUGCUGUGAUAGUCCCCAGUGGCCAGAGCAGAGGGGUCGGUGCACUGAGGCCAGGACAGUGGGCUGGACAUGGAGCUGGCCUCCCUGGGACUCUGGGCUGUAAUCCAUGUGGUUCUUGGCAUUGUUUCCUGCCCUCCUGUGUCUAUCACAGGUCCCUGGCACUAAACCUGCCCUUCUGUCUGCCCCUCCUCUCUUGUUCUUCCUCGUCUUCCCUUUUGUCCUACUUCUCGUUGUCACCCAAGGUUUAGGGGGAGCAGGUUAACUGCAACAGGGGCGGCCAGUCUGGUGCAGCUGGGACACUUGGGGUGGGGCAGCCUCUACUGGGGCCAGCAAAUCUGGCCAGUGGUACAAACUGGCCAGGGGUGUGGAAAGAGGGGGACAGAGGCAGGGAGCAGCAGGAGUCAGUAAAACUUCAAAGGCGCAGGGAGUCCUGACUGUGCCAGAGCAAGUAAAGGCAGGACAGUGACUCCAGGUGAAGUGCACAAAUACCCAGGCAGGGUAACAUGUCCGGAAGCAGAUAAAGGGCUGAUGGGAAUUGGAGGAGCAUGGAUAGGAGAGUAGAGUAGGGUGGCUAAGGGCACAGCCUCAGCUGUGUGAUCUUGGGCAAUCUACGACUUAAUCUCUCUGUGCCUCAGUUUCCUCAUCAAAAAGGAAGACUAUUUCCUGCCUCACAUAAUUUGGUUUUAUGAUUUCAAUGAGGUAAUUGUAAUAAUAAUGGAAUCCCUGGGUGGUGCAAAAGGUUAAUGUGCUCAGCCACUAGCUGAAAGGUUGGAGGUUUGAGUCCACCCAGAGGUGCCUUGGAAGAAAGGCCUGGUGAUCCACUUCUGAAAAAUCAGCUAUUGAAAACCCUAUGGAGCAUAGUCCUACUCUGACACACAUGGGGUCACCAUGAGUUGGAAUCGACUCCAAGGCAACAGGUUUUGUAAGAUUUUAAUUAUAGUAAUGGAGGCACUGGGCUCUAGGCAGGUUGCUUGCUAUUCAGCAAGAUGAAGACCCUGUUCUCAAACUGAGAUGCAGGGUGUGGCUUGGGUCUGGAGAACACGCCUAUGGGCCUCAAGGUGGGAUUGGAAGAGGAGCAAAAUGAACCUGACCCAGAGUACCUGGGAACCAAGCUAGGGCCUGGCUUCCUGUGGGGGUGGAGCGAACUAGUUCUGCAAGGUGACAUGAGUAAGAAAGAUACCUUGUUAAAUCAUUUUUGGGAAAUGCCUCAUGAUAUAGCCCCUUCUUGGAGACUUACAAAACAUCGAUCCUAUGAGUGGUUUUGUGAAGUCUUGCCAUUAGGAAACCGGUUUAACCCCACUGAUGUCUCGUGGUUAUUCUCUCCCACCCCAGUACUUAUUAUCAUCCACAGGAACUAGAUAUUGAAGAAACAGUUGGGUUUUAAAUCUCUCUAAAUUCCUUCUUUCUCUUCCUAGGACUGGUCUCAGGGUGGGCCUGGGCCAGAGUGUUCUCAAGGGACCCCAACCAGGGGAGCAAUGACGGACCGGAGCAAGGAGUCGAAACCUGGCAGGGCCUGACGCUACUUUAUUUUCCUUCCUUUUUAAAUAAGCUUUUCAUUUUGUAAUAAUUUUAAGUUUACAGGAAAGUUGCAAAGAUAGCACAGAGAGUUCCCAUAUACUCUUCACCCAGCUUCCCCUAUGGGCUCAAGCAUAACAACAAUUGUGCAGAUGGCACAGGACUGGGCAGUGUUUCAUUCUGUUGUACAUUAGGGUUUCUAUGAGUUGGAACCGACUCGACAACACCUAACAACAACAAGAAACGUCCCCUAAAGUUAAUAACAUUUUACAUAACCAUGGUACAUACUUUACAACUAAGAAAUUAACACUGCUACAAUACUAUGAAUUAUCUACAGACUUCAUUCAAAUUGCAUCAGCUUUUCCACUCUGUCCCUUUUCUAUUCCAGGAUCUGAUCCUGAAUUCCACAUGACAUUUAGUUCAUUUUCCUUUUUUAUUCUCUCAUCUCCACCUUCUUUUUUCUGCAUUUCUCCCUCUGCCACUUCAUGGAUAGGACAGGGAGUGUAAGGUAGAGGACAGAGAGGUGAGUAAAAGAGUCCUCUCUGCUGGGGACAGCUGCCAUGAUGACUUUUGUGAGGUGAGCAGUGGCAGCAGGGGAAAGGGCCCACAGUGUGACCAGAUGGAGAGGGACCCCGGGACUCGGUUACCCAUGAGCAGGUGUAGGCAGCUGCAGACCCUGCAGGCUGAGAGAGCAGACUACAUGCGUCUGGAGGGUAGGGGGACUAGCCAACAGAGAAAUCCAUGAAGCUUGAAGUUGAGCUGCUUUUUGAGGAAAGUAACCUCAACUUACCUGUUGUGGCUGUCUGUGGAGUAAGCUAGUGAGACCCAGUUGAUUCGAUCACUAUAGGUCCAGGUAACAGUGAGAAUGAGCUCAGGUACCAAGGUAUCUUGGCAGGACCACUACUCCCAUGGUAUACUCCAUGGUGAUUGAAACAAGUCAACCAUCAUAUCCUUCCUGACGUAAAGGAUAAAAUCGAGGUGAACAUUGAGAAAGCAGACCAUGUAAGCUCCAGAGCUUUCUGGAACAAUAGGGUGAGACACUUUUUGGUCUCUGUGAAGCCCAAUCGAUAUGCCAAUGGAGCAGACACUACUGGAUGCUCACCCAACAUGGAUUACCCUCUUCUUUCUUGCUAACUGUUAUGGACUGAAUUGUGUCCCCCCACAAUAUGUAUUGUAAAUCCUAACCCCAUACCUGUGCUCACUAUGAGUCGGAAUUGACUCAACAGCGACAGGUUUUUUUGGGUUUUUUUCAUACCUGUGGUUAUAUUUCCAUUUGGGGAUGGGUUUUCUUUGUUAUGUUAAUGAGGCAGUAUUAGUGCAGGGUGUGUCUUAAGUCAGCCUCUUUUGAGAUAUAAAAAGAGCAGCUUGAGCAAGCAAUGAAACAAGCAAGCAGAGAUGGGGGAAGAUAGAUGCCACUCCACACGAGAUCUCCAAGGAACCAAAAAACAGAAGCUGAAAAGAGAUAAGGACUUUUCCCCAGAGCCAGCAGAGACAGAAAGACUUCCCUUAGAGCUGGCACCCUGAAUUCAGACUUUUAGCUUCCUAAACUGUGAGAAAAUGAAUUUCUGUUGGUUAAAGCCACAAAUUACAGAAGCACUGAAUAAAUAAGGCACUAACAUAGCUCUGAUUUUGUUCUGGUGCUAUCCUCUGUUCACCAACCAAAUGCUUCAGGAGGCUGGCCUCUGAGGGUAGGUCUUACUUGGUGUAAGCCAGUCAUGAUGCUGCCAUACUGCCUGCCAGGAUUGGUUUAAGCAUGGGCAUGUGGUACAAUUCUGGCCAAUGAGAUAGAGAGAGGAAGUUCUGGGGCAAGGGGGUCCUGGGAAACCUUUCCUCACUCCUGAGACUCAAAGGUGAGAUGGCUUCUUGAUGUGUCACCUAGAACUUGGGCAGCCAUCUUGCAACUGAGCAAGCAGUUAGACUGGCAGAAAGGAACCAGGGUCCUUGGUGACAUCACUGAGCCACCAAACCAACCAAACUUGGAGCUACCAUGCCUUUGGAUUUAUUCUGUGUGUAAGCAGUUGAAUUGGUUUUUUUUGUUACUUGCUGUCCUAAUGGAAUCACCAGGGCCAGAAGACCUGUGACCUGGAAGGACUGCACCCGAUGGGGCUGCUCUCAGUUUUCCCUCCUGGCCCUGUGAAUCCUUGCACUAGAACUCUGUUUUAGUUUCCUAUUGCUUCUGUAACAAAUGAUCACAAACUUAAUGGCUUAAACACACACACAUUUUUUCUCUUACAGUUCCGGAGUUCAGAGUCUAAAGUCAAGGUAUCGACAGGGCUGCAUUCCCUUCUGGGGCUCUUGGGGAGAAUUUGUUUCCUUGUCUUUUUCAGCCUCUAGAGGCUGCCUGCAUUCCUUUGCUAGUGGCUCCUUCCUCACAUCUCACCAACCUCUUGCUUCUGUUGCUACAUCUCCUACUAUUGAGUCUGACCCUCCUGCCUCCUUUUAUACGGAUGCUUGUGAUUACAUUGGGCCCACCCGGAUAGUCCAGGAUAAUCUCUCAAUUUUAAGAUACUUAAUUUAAUCACUUUUGCAAAGUUCUUUUUACCGUGUAAGCUAACAUAUUCAUAGGUUCUAGAGGUUAGGCUAGGGGCAUCUUUGGGGGGCUAUUAUUCUGCCUACCACAACCUCCCUUACCAUAGACGAUCUGUGCAUGUUCCCUCCUGGCUCCAUGGAGGGUGGUGGCUCCUGUGCUAUCCUCCCCCAGGAUACAACCUGACCCAGCUCACCUGGCAUUUCCCACAAACCAACUAUGGGGGCCCUAGUUUGGCCUAGUGUCUGCUCCUUGUAGAAGAGGCAAGCCUGGAGGUCAAAGAGAGGUAGGAAUUAGGGGUAAAGAAUGAGCUUUAGCUAUUUCUAAAGUGGAGAGAAACAGAGACUUAGUGUUUUCUCAAUAGCAGGGAAGCUGAAAAAGAUGUUGUCAGAGACCCACCAGAUGGUUCAGACGAGGUUCAGAUUUUCCUUAGAAACUGACUACUUUUGAGAACCCCACUUGAUGGACGUCAGGGCUUGAGCAACUCCGAGGAGAUUGGGGUGCUUAGGUGUCUCUCAGGGAUGUGAGCCUCAGAGCAGGACUCCAAGACCAAUAGACUUAUGGGUCUGUUUCCCAUCCAUUCUUGCCACUUGGCUAGAUUCAUGCUGGGAGAAUUCAGAAGAAUUGCAGGGUCAGCUUUGGGGAGAUUUCCAGUUAUUUUUCUCCUUUAUGCCACUUGAUGGGUUUCAGGCUGGGCCAAGGAGCCCCAUAUAUGAAUCCCAAAUGUGUUCUUCAUACCACAUUCCAGAAUGAGUCUUUGCUUGACCUUUGAGUCAGGUCUGGGGUAGGGUCAGUCUGUAAAAUGAGGGGCUGAGACCAGCCUUUAAUGCCUUCCAGCUCUCGAAUGCCAUGGCUUGUGGUUGGGAAAGGGACAUGGAAGAUCAUUUUUCUGGAGUCAGAAUCAGUGAGGCUAGAGCAUUUUAGGGCCAUUCACCCUCACCCCCAACCUCGGGAAAGGACGUGGUGGGAAGAUGGCUAAGUUAGCCUUGAGCGAUCGUUUCCCACAGCCUGGAUUGGGUGGUGGUGUUCUGGCUUCUGAGGAAUGAGAAAAUCAGGCCUCGUGGGUGACUCCAUCUUGCUCCAACUCCCUCUGUUCAGCCUCCUUAGAGCAGCCCCACGGGUGGGAAGAGGUCACAGCUUUGGAAUAGACCAGCCUCACCAAGACAAGCAGAUCCAUGACCCAGGAGAUGGUGAACACAACCACACAAAUCUUGUUUGGAGAAGUCAGUUCUUAAAGGGCAACCCAAGACAUCCUUUUGUUGGUCUAGAUUCCAGUGAUCACAACUCCUUACUCUUCUUCUUUGUGAGUCCCAAGAGAAUUAUGUACUUCUAAAAAAAAAAAUUUUUUUUUUUUUUUUUUCCUAAGGAAUGCUUUAUUUGAAGGUUGAAAGAGAAGAACUGAAGGGAACAAAAGAGAACCCUUAUUGACUCACUUGGUUUGGACAUGUCAUCAGGAAAGACCAGUUGCUAGAAAAACACAUCAUGUUUGGUAGAGGGUCAGCAGAAACAAGGGAAGCCCUCAAUGAGAUGAAUUGACACGAUAGCCACAACAAUAGACUCAAACAUGCCAACUAUCAAAAAGAUGGCACAGGACCAGGCAGUGUUUUUUUUUGUUAUAUACAAGGUCGCCAUGAGCUGGAGCCAACUUGAUGGCAAUUAACAAAGCAACAACAUCCAGUAGAGCUGAUGACCCAGUGGGUGAUGACAUCAACAGUUGAUAUGGAUGGCUCCCUAGAAGUGGCAUCAGUAGCCCUGAUAAGACAGAGGUCCCCAGGCUUUGGAAAAUUCCACUCCCUAAAGCAGCUUGUUUAGCAUGCCUGGUAACUUUAUAUUAAAAUCCUGCUUCCCCUCUCCUUAACUGCUGCCCAAAACUAGAGGAAAUUGGCAGAAACUAGCUCAGGUGCCAUGCUGACAUUCAGGGUAACCUUUUAGCUCAUUAAAUACUUCAUACGUAGUAACUUCCCUGCCUCUGGGUGGAGUUUAACCACCAAUUUCUGAACAUGCGGUGCAUGAAGAUAUAUGCAAACCCCAUUGCACCUGUGUAGUAUGAUUAAGAAUGUUGCUGAUGUAACUUGUAUGAACUUCCUACUUGUGACCGCCUUGAAAGUAACCUUCCUCUUGGCCCUUGCUGAGCAGUCUUGGUGGCAACAGCCCUGACUCCUCUUUUCCUUGCACAAUGAAAUAAAGGUACCUUUCUACUCUCCUACCUCAGUCUCUUGCUUAUUGGCUGAGAUGAGCUGUGCCAAGUAGAACCUGGGGUUUCUACUUGGCAACAUUUCAUUGGCAUGGUUCUGGCCUCAUGUGAACUACUCGUGCCCUUGCUAGACAUAAAUUUUCCCAGCCAGAUUACAAAAUCUAUGCUCUUCCUCAUCUCAGAGGAAGUUGUGGUUCAUCAACAGGGUCAGGCAUGUGACAAAACAGCUCUUUGGAAAAGAUGAGAAUGCUGGUCUGAAAAUCUUAACUCAUGGGAGCAAGGUAAGUACAGAGUCUCUUGCUGUCUGGCACUCGCUGCCUCCUAGCCCCCAAGGCAGUCUCUCUCAGCAGACCAUACAUGUAAUUAGUGUGGGGAGGCUUCUGGGAAGGCGUCAGUCUUUUCAGCCACAGAUAUACAUGAAGGAAAAGACCCACAAUGUUGGUGAGGGGGUGGCUCUAACACAUGGUUUUGGCAUUUGUCAGUGUCAUGGUUAGGGAUUCAAUGUGGGCCUGUCCUUUUUGUCACUUUGGGUUUCUGUGCCAAAGGUGGCUGAGGAGACUACUGGGGAGUGGGAUCUGAAUUGUCCUGUGCCAGCCCAGGGUGAUGGCAGAGAACAGCAAACCAGAGUUAAUGAGAUAAGAGACAAAAUGACUUGAUCCUUUGGGAAGAUUUUCAACAUUGUACCACUUCUUUUCCUUUAUCUCCAUUAUCUCCUCAGCCUCAAAGUAGCUAGAAAACUUCAGGCUCCAAGGUGUCCCUGGAGAAAGUGAGUGUUAUGGAUUGAAUUAUGUUCCCCCAAAAUAUGUAUUGGAAUCCUAACCCCUAUGGUGGCACAGUGGUUAAAGUGCUUGGCUGCUAAGUGAAAAGUUGGUGGUUCGAACUUACCAGUCGAUCCAUGGGAGAAAGAUGAAGCAGUCUGCUCUGUAAAGAGUAAACCCAUUGCCAUUGAGUCAAUGGGGCAGUUCUACUCUGUCCUAUAGGAUUGUUAUGUGUCAGAACUGAUAUGGCGGCAACAAGAUACCUGUAGAUGUAAUCCUGUUUGGGAAUAGGGUUUUCUUUGCUAUGUUAAUGAGGCAAUGUCAAUGUAGGGUGUGUUCUAAAUCUAAUCACUUCUGAGUUAUAAAAACAGCAGAGUAGAAACAGUAACAAACAUAAAAGGGGGAAGGUAGAUGCCACAUGAAGAUUGCCAAAAAAACCAAGGAAUGCUGGGGCUAUAGAAGGUGAAAGAGACAAGGAUCUUCGCCCAGAGCCAACAGAGAGAGAGUGAGCCAGUGCCCUGAAUUUGGGCUUCUAGCCUUGCGAACUGUAGGAAAAUACUUUCUCUUCUUUAAAGCCGUCUAUGUGUGGUAUUUCUGUUACAGCAGCACUAGGAAACUAUGGCUGGCUUUUUGCAGAAUCCAGGUAAAGUGGAAAGCAGGCACACACACACGUGAGAACAUGUUGGUCAUGAUAGCUAGAAAGGUGGCCAAUUUCUUGGGACCUGAAAAGGGGAAAUGGCGACCAGGCAGUGUCAUUCUUGAGGGAUAUCCUCAGACUGUGACCACUGGAAGAGGCUUCUGUCCAUGGUGGCCAUUGGCCAAUGACACUGGAUAGUUAAUCUCCCCAGAUGAGGCAGAACUGGAGGUAAAAUGGCAUAAAGGAAUCCCCUGUUUAGCCAAGAAAAUACAAGAUCUUCUUGUCAGUCAGUGUCCACAGUUGCAAGCAACUAAUUAUAUAUUAAACUGAAUAUAUAUGUAUAUCUUUGCUUAAACUGGAAACACUGGUGGCAUAGUGGUUAAGAGCUCAGGCUGCUAACCAAAAGGUUGGCAGUUCAAGUCUACUAGGCGCUCCUUGGAAACCCUAUGGGGCAGCUAUACUCCCUCCUAUAGGGUCGCUAUGAGUCAGAAUUGACUCGAUGGCAACAAGUUUUUUUUUUUUUGGUUUGCUUAAUCUGAACAUAUAUCCACUUUCUGGCUGAUAGAUGUUUAUGUUGCCUCCAAUUUUUUGCUAUUACACACAGUGCUACAGCGAACGUUGCUGCUCACGUUUCCUGAGGGCUCUGACACUAACUCACAUGUGGCCUUGUAUUGCCGUUUAACUCUUUACAGUUCACAUCUCCCUAGCUAAAGGCAAGACCUAGAAAGAAGAGGGAUUAAGCAAAGAGAGAUUAAUCAACAGAACAUUGGGCAGCUCAUGGUAGAUCUGGGAGCCCUGAGCACCCAUAGCCAGGUAGAGCACCUCAGCUCGUGCCAUAGACCCACCUGGUGAAGACACAUUUGCUCUGCUGCAGGCCUACUGGUGAUACCCCCAACACGGGGCAUUGGAGGCUGGGCUGGAGACAGAGUCCUGCAUGCCACCACUAUCACUGCUGCCCAUUGGCAGACUAGACUGUGCAUGCACCCUGCUUCUUCUUGUAGGUGACAGGGUCCAGGUCACUUACCUUGCCCACUUGCCAAGGGGUUGGAGAAGCCAGUGCCAGGCACUUUUUGUUUCCAGAGUGAGAGGUAGGUUCUGCCUCACAAGUUGGGGUGGGAGGCGCAAGCAUAGAAGUGGGUACAGGUAUUCGGUGACCAAAGGAAUGAGUUGCCCCUUACAAGUCACGAGGUCACAAGAACUCCAGAGGGAGAGAAGGUGACUACUAGGACAUCCUUUUGAGGCUAAUGUACCAGCCCCCAUCCUCUGGGGGUGAGGGGAAACGGUGCUGAGUCUCUCAGCUAUUUCCCACUUAAGGUCAGUUGUCUGUUCCUGUCUUUGUGAAAAUACUAACCAGGAAAGAGUUACCAUCGUUUUAAAUGGAAAAAAGUAUAAUAGACAUACCUGUCAGUCAGUUUCCUAAAUGUAAUUAAAUGUAGUAAAAACACACAUAUAAGUAAUAAACUAUCACGUUAGGAUGUAAAAUGCUUAAAACAUGCUUGUCAUUGUUGUUGUUAGUUCCUGUCAAGUUGGCUCAGACCCAUGGUGAUCCCAUGUACAAUAGAAGGAAAUGUUGCCCAGCCUUUCCUGUGCCAUCCUCACAAUCCUUGGUAUGGUUCAGUCCAUUGCUGGGGCCAGUGUGUAUUUUGAGUGCUUUCUAACCUAGAGGGCUCAUCUCCCAGCACUGUCCAGGACGAUAUUCUGUGGUGAGCCAUAGUUUUCAUUGGCUAAUUUUUGGAAAUAAAUCACCAGGACUUUCUUCCUGGUUUAUCUUAGUCUGAAGCUGCACUGAAAUCUGUCCGUCAUAGGUGACCCUGGUGGUAUUUAAAAUACCAGUGGCAUAGCUUCCAGUGUCACAGCAACGCACAAGCCUCCACAGUACUACAGCCUGUCAGACAGGUGGUGGGAAACAUGGCUUAAAAUUCCAAUAGUCAAUAUGGUUGUUAAUGGUUGCUUUGCACGAAGUGACACUGUAACUCCUGGCCUCUCAGCACCGGCAACAUCAGAAAGGCGCAUUCCCUUUGUUGACACUCCACUCUCUUUAUCAAAUAUGUCCACACACAUUCCUGAUGUUCUUUUAAUUACAAUGUUUACAAGACUUUAUUGACACAUUGUUUCACUUAAAAUGUAGUGUGUUCACUUUGUACAAGGCAGGGUCAUGGAAGUACCAUAGACACAUCCAAACUCCCUAAGGGGCCGAAUUGCUGGGCUGAGGGCUGUGGGGAUCACGGUCUCGGGAACAUCUAGCUCAAUUGGCAUAACAUUGUUUAUAAAGAAAAUGUUCUACGUUCUACUUUGGUGAGUAGCGUCUGGGCUCUUAAAAGCUUGCGAGCUGCCAUCUAAGAUACUUCACUGAUCUUACCCCUCAGGGAGCAAGGAAGAGUAAGGAAAACUAAACACACAAUGGAAAGAUUAGUCUAAAGGACUAAUGGACCAUAUCUACCAUGACCUCCACCAGACUGAGUCCAGUACAGCUAGGUGGUGCCUGGCUACCACCACCAACUGCUGUGACAGGGAUCACAAUAGACAGUCCCGGACAGAGCCGGAGAAACAUGUAGAACAAAAUUCUAACUAAAAAAAAAAAAAAGACCA
Molecule: long non-coding RNA, 11244 nt
Organism: Loxodonta africana (African savanna elephant)
Lineage: Eukaryota; Metazoa; Chordata; Mammalia; Proboscidea; Elephantidae
Exons: 2
Source: RefSeq, a predicted model, not a curated record